GUGCACAUGAACCCAUAUUUUGGUUCAUACCCAGGCAUGGCAUUAAAAUAUGUACGGGGUGUUCUGGAUAUGUGGAGUGUAUGUGGAGGUUGUGAGUAGGUCAACAUUGAAUCGAUCACUCCUAGUAAGAGGAGAUCGCAUCGUGUGUAUUCUCAAUUCUAGAUGACUUGAAAAAAAAAAUUUGACCAAAAGAAGAAAAGAGAUUAGAAAUAGUUUCUAAUACUUCUUCAUUAGAGUCAUCAUUGGCUAGUUGAGAAUCGAUAUGAAUAUGUGUUUGAGUUUGACAUGAUACCAUACUCAUGAAUAUAUUUAGGGU
RNAcentral lists this long non-coding RNA (316 nucleotides) under Elaeis guineensis (African oil palm). RNAcentral describes it as "long non-coding RNA (EGUI_LNC048995)". The record is from RNAcentral. Lineage: Eukaryota; Viridiplantae; Streptophyta; Magnoliopsida; Arecales; Arecaceae.